RNAcentral lists this unclassified non-coding RNA (371 nucleotides) under soil metagenome. RNAcentral describes it as "partial contains 5.8S ribosomal RNA, internal transcribed spacer 2, and large subunit ribosomal RNA". The stretch from base 1 to 120 matches the Rfam family "5.8S ribosomal RNA", at positions 35 to 154 of the family's 154-position model. The record is from RNAcentral.
GAUUAAGAACGUAGCGAAAUGCGAUAAGUAAUGUGAAUUGCAGAAUUCAGUGAAUCAUCGAAUCUUUGAACGCACAUUGCGCCCCCUGGAAUUCCGGGGGGCAUGCCUGUUCGAGCGUCUCAGGGACGAACCCUCGCGCGGGUGUACGCGCGGUCGUGGCUGCGGUGGCGUGCCCGAGGCGGCGGCCACCGCGCUGGAAUCCAUGGGCGGACGCCUGCCGCGUGGCCGAGCGUGAUAUGACGCAUUGGCGCUCGCACGCGGAGAGGCUGCCAGCCCUGGCCCGUCUGUCGGGCGGGGGAGAGCAAGACACGUGAACUCCUCGAAUCAGGUAGGGAUACCCGCUGAACUUAAGCAUAUCAAUAAGCGGAGGA